Molecule: long non-coding RNA, 316 nt
Filed under: Mytilus galloprovincialis (Mediterranean mussel)
Lineage: Eukaryota; Metazoa; Mollusca; Bivalvia; Mytilida; Mytilidae
Source: RNAcentral
GCCCCACUCCCACUAUCAUUUUUUAUGUUCAGUGGACCGUGAAAAUGGGGUCAAAAAUUUAAUUUGGAAUUAAAAUUAGAAAGAUCAUAUCAUAGGGAACAUGUGUACUAAGUUUCAAGUUGAUGUAACUUUAACUUCAUCAAAAACUACCUUGACCAAAAACUUUAACCUGAACUUUGCACUAUCAUUUUCUAUGUUCAGUGGACCAUGAAAUUGGGGUCAAAACUAUAAUUUGGCAUUACAAUUAGAAAGAUCAUAUCAUGGGGAACAUGUGUAUUAAGUUUCAAGUUGAUUGGCCUUCAGCUUCAUCAAAAAC